AACGAACGCUGGCGGCAUGCCUAACACAUGCAAGUCGAACGAGACCUUCGGGUCUAGUGGCGCACGGGUGCGUAACGCGUGGGAACCUGCCCUUAGGUUCGGAAUAACUCCCCGAAAGGGGUGCUAAUACCGGAUAAUGUCUUCGGACCAAAGAUUUAUCGCCUUUGGCUGGGCCCGCGUUGGAUUAGCUGGUUGGUAGGGUAAAAGCCUACCAAGGCGACGAUCCAUAGCUGGUGUGAGAGGAUGAUCAGCCACACUGGGACUGCGACCCGGCCCAGACUGCUACGGGAGGGUGCAGUGUGUAAUAUAGGACACUGGGCCAAGGCCUGACCCCGCCGCGCCCGGUGAGUGAUGAUGCCCUUAGUGUUGUAAAGCUCUUUUACCCGGGAUGAUAAUGACGGUACCGGGUGAAUAAGCUCCGGCUAACUACGUG
Molecule: ribosomal RNA, 433 nt
Filed under: uncultured bacterium
Lineage: Bacteria
Description: partial 16S ribosomal RNA
Rfam family: Bacterial small subunit ribosomal RNA
Source: RNAcentral